Molecule: long non-coding RNA, 811 nt
Organism: Chinchilla lanigera (long-tailed chinchilla)
Lineage: Eukaryota; Metazoa; Chordata; Mammalia; Rodentia; Chinchillidae
Exons: 3
Source: RefSeq, a predicted model, not a curated record
GAGGACCAUGGCAACCCAGUUACUGUUUUCUUUCCUUUUUAAAAUUUAACCAUUGAACUAGCCCCUGCCCACACCUGCCUCUGUUUUCUAGUCAACUUUCUGCUGUGUGUAGCACGGAGAGUCUUUACUGGGUAGCUUUUGUUGAUGGCAGGCACAAUUCACAAUUCUGUCUUCUCACCCUUUUAUUGAAAUGGCAAAAUCCAAGCACAAAUACUGUUGUUAAGAGGGCUGAGAAGGCUACAGGAGACCAGAGUCACUGACCUUUAUUUUGAAAAUCAAGACCUCUUUUAAAGUUCCUGGAAGGAACUUAAGGAUGCUGUCGUUCAUGAGGGCACCGCAGAGUCCGGUGCAUGCAUGAAUGAAUGCACGAACACAUCAGUGCAUGCAGUCUACUGGCCCCAGCGAGGUCACCAUCUCAUCUCAGAUACUCAGAAACAAAACAGGGAAGGUCAAGGGAGCAAAUGCUACCUACAGGAGACUCAAGCACAUGAUGUGGACAAGGACACAGUGGGGAGAGUCAAUCCAUAUCAACAGAAAGAAGCUAGAAGGCAGUGAUCCUGAAUCGGUUGUGACACACCAACUGCUACAGUGCAAACAAGCGUGCUUCCCUGGGAGACACGGCACACGGCAAGUGAGGUCUCUGUGCCCGUGGCUCCUGAUGAGGGGGCUUAGUUCCUCAUGGAGUCAGUGCUUUAAUAAAUAGCACUGGAUGUGGCUGCUAAUGGUUUGUGGCCUUCCUGUCUUGGGGCAUUUGCUGAGCUGUCCGGUGAAGGCAAAGACAGACAAGGUCCUUCAUUCUCCUGCCUCUUCC